This 253-nucleotide ribosomal RNA is filed under the name uncultured bacterium. RNAcentral's name for it is "partial 16S ribosomal RNA". It matches the Rfam family "Bacterial small subunit ribosomal RNA", at positions 524 to 776 of the family's 1533-position model. The record is from RNAcentral.
UACGUAGGUGACAAGCGUUGUCCGGAUUUACUGGGCGUAAAGAGCGCGCAGGCGGUCGAUCAAGUCGAGUGUGAAAGCCCCCGGCUCAACUGGGGAGGGUCAUUCGAUACUGAUCGACUCGAAGGCAGGAGAGGGUAGUGGAAUUCCCGGUGUAGUGGUGAAAUGCGUAGAUAUCGGGAGGAACACCGGUGGCGAAGGCGGCAUCCUGGACCGGCAUUGACGCUGAGGCGCGAAAGCCAGGGGAGCAAACGGG